GACGAACGCUGGCGGCGUGCUUAACACAUGCAAGUCGAACGGAAAGGCCCUGCUUUUGUGGGGUGCUCGAGUGGCGAACGGGUGAGUAACACGUGAGUAACCUGCCCUUGACUUUGGGAUAACUUCAGGAAACUGGGGCUAAUACCGGAUAGGAGCUCCUGCUGCAUGGUGGGGGUUGGAAAGUUUCGGCGGUUGGGGAUGGACUCGCGGCUUAUCAGCUUGUUGGUGGGGUAGUGGCUUACCAAGGCUUUGACGGGUAGCCGGCCUGAGAGGGUGACCGGGCACAUUGGGACUGAGAGACGGCCCAGACGGCUACGGGAGGCAGCAGUGGGGAAUAUUGCACAAUGGGCGGAAGCCUGAUGCAGCAACGCCGCGUGCGGGAUGACGGCCUUCGGGUUGUAAACCGCUUUCGCCUGUGACGAAGCGUGAGUGACGGUAAUGGGUAAAGAAGCACCGGCUAACUACGUG
RNAcentral lists this ribosomal RNA (468 nucleotides) under uncultured bacterium. RNAcentral's name for it is "partial 16S ribosomal RNA". It matches the Rfam family "Bacterial small subunit ribosomal RNA", at positions 28 to 507 of the family's 1533-position model. The record is from RNAcentral.